RNAcentral lists this long non-coding RNA (1817 nucleotides) under Homo sapiens (human). RNAcentral's name for it is "non-protein coding lnc-CDCA2-10:1". The record is from RNAcentral. Lineage: Eukaryota; Metazoa; Chordata; Mammalia; Primates; Hominidae.
UGCCAUGUAAUUGUAUGGUUUUGAGGGAUUUUCAUUGUGUUGACUUCUGUUUUUAUUCUACUCUGUGCCUUUUAACUGGGGCAUUUAGCCUGUUUAUAUUCAAGAUUAAUAUUGGUAAUGUGUGAAUUUGAUCUUGUCAUUGUGCUGUUAGCUGAUUAUUGUGUUGGCUUGUUUGUGUGGUUGCUUUACAAUGACACUGUUGUGCGUGUUUAAGUGUGUUUUUGAUUAGCUGGUAGCAGUCUUUCCUUUCUGUAUUUAGUGCUCCUCUCAAGAUAUUUUGUAAGGCAGGUCUGGUGGUAAUAAAGUCCCUUAACAUUUGCUUAUCUGAAAAGGAUCUUAUUUCUCCUUCACUUAGGAAUCUUAGUUUGGGUGGAUGCAAAAUUCUUGGUUGAAGAUUUUUUUCUUUAAGAAUGUUGAAUAUAGGUUCCCAAUCCCUCCUGGCUGGUCGUGAUACUCUCAAAGGGAAGUGAACUAACCUUCAAAGUAUACCUGGAAUGUAACCAAAACUAUUAAUACAAAUAGAAGCAUAAAAUUCAUCCUCUCAUUUAAUACAACAAUGGGUGCCUCAGUUCCUGCCAUGUAUGGGGGUGUUGCUGGACUGUUUUACAUGAUCACUUCUGACAGUAGAAAUCUGUCAGGUCACCACAUUGUAAAUGCUUUGGAAGCAACAGUCCACGAGGCCAUUUUGAUAAUGAGAGAAAGUAUAAAAUGUGGUGAGGAUUUCCUUUUACUUGGCUUGCUCAUUCCAGAAAUUGACUUGGAUUGAUUACCAUGGAAAGACUCUACUGCAUCUGUGCUCCAGAGGGGCAAAGUGACACAAAGGGACGAGGCUUGUACAGUAAAAUUUUAGCUCCCUUGACGUGAUACAGUCCACGAGGAUCCUAUCUCAAGGGAGUACACUAGAAGUGAUUGCUCAAGGAAAACCCCCAUCUGUUUGUAGAAUCCCGGCUAUGCAUUUUGUCUUUAUGCACCUUGGUUCCAUCAUCUGUGAAAUAAAAAUAAGCCCUACCUUGUUGGAAUGUUACAAAGGCAAUUAGCAACUCAAAAGAAAUUUAGUCAGUGAUUUCCCACUGGUACCCUUCUGUGCACUUAAUAAUAUGUUGGUGACCUGAAAAAUCUUUCUUGAGACCCAUGUUUUUUAUAUGUAGAAUGAGAUUGAGCCAGAUUAUCACUAACUUCCUUCCCAACCCUACCACCAAAUAACAGCACUUCUACCGACAUCCUAGGAGUAAGGCAAUCUUGAAUUUAUAAAAUAUUCUCAGGCUCAGAGAGCCGUUUUAGAAAUCAGCCAUGACACAAGGAAAGGACCUUGAGUUAGGAGAGCUGGACUCAAGUUUCACUUCAGCCACAUUCUUGUCAUCCCUAAGCCUGAAUGUCUUCCUCUACAAAAUUAGGAUAAUAAUUUCCUCCUCUACAGACUUAUUGUACAACACAUAGUCCAUACAUCUGCUUCCUUUUGUCACUGAUGUCCUCUUCCCCAGAGGCAACCACUUACAACUGAAUUUUUAUUUUUUGUGAUAUUUAGCUCCAUAUAUCUAAAUAGCUACCCAUAGUGCCAUUUCUUGACUUCUUAGUUUUAGGCAUUAUAUGACCUACCCAUUAAGGAAGAUGAGAUCUUAGCCAUUUCAUCCCCAUCACUCUACUAGUAGCAAAAGCAUGCACAGUUAUUCAUGUUUCCAUUCUCCCAAAAUAAAUAUAUAUUUUGGCUAGAUCUAUCAUCAGUGCUUAAAUUGAGUACAUAAAUACUGUUCACAGCUGAGCCACAUAGAAUACUAUUAUUUUUUCCUUUCUUGAACAAGCAUUUGUUUUCCCUAGAU